This is a small nucleolar RNA of Impatiens glandulifera, 88 nucleotides long. RefSeq annotates it as small nucleolar RNA U54. The record is from RefSeq and is a predicted model, not a curated record. The transcript has a single exon. Lineage: Eukaryota; Viridiplantae; Streptophyta; Magnoliopsida; Ericales; Balsaminaceae.
GGUUCAAUGAUUACUUGCCCCCUUUAUUGGGGGUAAUAUACGCUAUUCCGAUUAUUACAUGACCGGAUAAUCUUCAUGAAUGAGAACU